This 460-nucleotide ribosomal RNA is filed under the name uncultured Bacteroidota bacterium. RNAcentral describes it as "bacterial SSU rRNA". It matches the Rfam family "Bacterial small subunit ribosomal RNA", at positions 9 to 461 of the family's 1533-position model. Lineage: Bacteria; Pseudomonadati; Bacteroidota. The record is from RNAcentral.
GAGUUUGAUCAUGGCUCAGGAUGAACGCUAGCGGCAGGCUUAACACAUGCAAGUCGAACGGUAACAGGAAAUAGCUUGCUAUUUUGCUGACGAGUGGCGCACGGGUGCGUAACGCGUAUACAAUCUACCUUUUACAGAGGGAUAGCCUUUAGAAAUGAAGAUUAACACCUCAUAGUAUCUAAUUAUCUCAUGGUAUUUAGAUUAAAACUUCGGUGGUGAAAGAUGAGUAUGCGUUCUAUUAGCUAGAUGGUGUGGUAACGGCACACCAUGGCUACGAUAGAUAGGGGCCCUGAGAGGGGGAUCCCCCACACUGGUACUGAGACACGGACCAGACUCCUACGGGAGGCAGCAGUGAGGAAUAUUGGACAAUGGGCGAGAGCCUGAUCCAGCCAUGCCGCGUGCAGGAAGACUGCCCUAUGGGUUGUAGACUGCUUUUAUACAGGAAGAAACCUUCCACGUG